GAUGAACGCUGGCGGCGUGCCUAAUACAUGCAAGUCGAGCGAACAGACGAGGAGCUUGCUCCUCUGACGUUAGCGGCGGACGGGUGAGUAACACGUGGAUAACCUACCUAUAAGACUGGGAUAACUUCGGGAAACCGGAGCUAAUACCGGAUAAUAUAUUGAACCGCAUGGUUCAAUAGUGAAAGACGGUUUUGCUGUCACUUAUAGAUGGAUCCGCGCCGCAUUAGCUAGUUGGUAAGGUAACGGCUUACCAAGGCAACGAUGCGUAGCCGACCUGAGAGGGGGAUCCGCCACACUGGAACUGGGACACGGUCCAGGCUCCUACGGGAGGCAGCAGUAGGGAAUCUUCCGCAAAGGGCGAAAGCCUGACGGAGCAACCGCGCGUGGAUGAUGAAGGUCUUCGGAUCGUAAAACUCUGUUAAUAGGGAAGAACAAAUGUGGAAGUAACUAUGCACGUCUUGACGGUACCUAAUCAGAAAGCCACGGCUAACUACGUG
Molecule: ribosomal RNA, 497 nt
Filed under: uncultured bacterium
Lineage: Bacteria
Description: partial 16S ribosomal RNA
Rfam family: Bacterial small subunit ribosomal RNA
Source: RNAcentral